CAGUGGUUGUCAAAAGUUUUCCUAUUUUUCCAUGAAAAUUACCUAUGAAUUCAUCAGUAAAUUCAAGUUCUUUUCUGUGCAACUUGUUUGCGAUGUGAUUUAUUCUUAUGUGUAUUGGAUCAAAUUCAAAAUUCUUCAAUCUAACAUGUAGGAAGGAACGGGAAAGGAAAAAUUAGCAUACAAGUAGCCUACCAUCACUACCACCAACUCUUUUAUUAAAAAUAUUCGUUUGCUGAAUGCAUCAUGCAGUUAAUACAGGUCAGUAGGUCACUACUGCGUCACUACCCCAGUGUGGACAUGUUUGUUUUUCUGAACAUGUUUUUCAACAAAUAAUUCAUUGACGUACAAGGAAAGCUAUGAAAAAUAUCAUAUCAUCUAGGCCAUGGAUAAUCUUCAGGUUUAUUGCAGCAGCUUAAGAGAAGAAUGUGAACAAAUGCAGGGCACUGGUCACAUACCAACAUGUGUUGUAUUUUUCUGAAUGUUAAACACAAGCAGCAGAUUCAACAUGACUAACUGUUUGAUGCCAAAAUUAGUUGGAACUCAACUCACUGUACAUACUCUAAAAACACAGAUAACUGGUGCUGUUGCCUUUCAGCCACCGGCAAGAAAAUGAUUCUUUUCUUCAGAAAAUUGCAAGUUAAUUUUUUGUCUUGACCCCUAACACUUUCUGUUAAUAUUAUAGAUAUUUAUGUUGAAAGAGUUACAAAGUCUGAAAAGCUAACUAAAAACUUUGUGUAUUUGUGUCAUAAGGAAAGCUGCUGGAGUAAUCUGGUGGUCAUGCUCAUUUGGUUCAUUUCGUGCCAGCUAGUGAAAGCCGAAAGGCAUGUCGAAUUCAAUUGAGCUGCUGCGUGCUGUCUCGAAGCAUAGCCUACUCUAUAUAGGAAGCCGAAAGGAAGGAUAUCUCUCGCGUGUUGGAAAAGUGAAGCCUACUUUGCUCACCUUUCCUCCGAUUUCGCAUCUUCCAAGUGGACCCAGGGGGGCCAUCUGGUGAGCGAAAUAAUGACACGCCCUCCGAAAUUUCGAAUGUUAUGGUUUGGGGGGAUUACCCUGUAAUUUAUGAACGCACCAUUAAUAUGUUGCCGUGAGGGAUUUCAUGACAAUGUUACAUUGGAACGGUGGACAUUAUUGUUUAGUGAAUGGCCCUUCGUAGCCAUUUAACAAUCAUAUCGAUAGAAACGUAAACAAAUCCGUGUUUUCAAAUAUCGCCACUAGACGAUAAAUUGGCUCCCGUGGGUCCACUUAGGGCGGAGCCAAAUAAGAGGAAGGGAACCCAAAUUGGCUUCCAAAAAAAGGCCAAUCCUUUCGGCUUCCUAUAUAGAGUAGGCUAUGCUCGAAGGAAGCAAUCCAGCUGUUGCGUUCAGUCAUUUGGAACAGGAAUCUAAUGGCUGUCAAUAGGUGGCUGUGAAUAAGUGGCUGAAAUGAUGUCCACCAGGUAGCGUGAGUGUCUUCAGAGAAGCUUAGCGGCCAUUUUGUUCCAAGACGCAGCAGAAAUAGGUUGUUGGUUGUGACGUUUCUCACGAUGAAAAUUAAAAGGUGAUUUAGCAUGUAGAAACCAAUUUGCCAAAUCAUUCACCUCAGACUUGGGAAGUGCCUGUACAUUUCCGAAAUGGCGUGCCUCGUGUGUCUCGCUGCCUGUUCUUUGGCUUACGUCUCACCCCAUUCAACAGUGAAAAGUAAAACAAAUGCUGGUGGUUACCUUGUUGCAGCCAAAUGGUGAAAGGUGUGACAAAGACAGAUUGAACCGUUGUAUACUGAAUGCAAUUGCAGUGUAAUCCAGAAGUUGCUGUGCUGUUGUAGCUGAGCUGUUCCAUCUGGGUUCCUGACUUCAAAAAUUUUGUGUUGUCGUUUUCAUCCAUGCCAUAUGAAAUUGCUCUGCCAGUGAUAUUUUGUGUUGCUGCGUUAAAAGUUUGAUCUGUUGUCUUGAGUUUUCAUUCAAUCAUGCAGUAUACGACUGAGGCAACCUGAUCGAUGUCAGGUUUGAAACAGUCGAGAACUGCUAGAUAAAACAAGCUUUCUGCACCAAACAAAUUAUAACUUGCAUAUAACUAAAUAACUUGCAUCAUGUUAUUAUCGCGGUAGAGAAAGCGACAGGCCCCCCCCCCCUGGGGGCCACAGGAAAAAUAAAUAAUCUAAAUGU
Molecule: long non-coding RNA, 2137 nt
Organism: Daphnia pulicaria
Lineage: Eukaryota; Metazoa; Arthropoda; Branchiopoda; Diplostraca; Daphniidae
Exons: 7
Source: RefSeq, a predicted model, not a curated record